AGAGCCCUCCCCGCAGCCUCGUUCCGGCUCAGCAGCCGUUAAGCCCGCGGGCCGCCGGGUGUGCGUCAGCCGCGCCGCGCCGUCAGGGGCCGGGGCCGACCCUCCCCUCAUGGACCGGGCUCCCUCGUCACUGGCCGGCGGGAGCUGCAUGUCCCUUCUCCCCCCCGCCUCUGCAUUGUCAGCCUUCUUGUGCAUUCCCCAUGCUGCCUGGGUGCCACCUAGGAAGCUACUGAGAGACAGAUUCUAAACAAGCCUCUCCUACCAGCCCUCUCUGCAUGUCCAUGUCUGACUACUGCAAACUCUAGCUAAUGGGGAGGCAGGACCAAAUACAUCACUUGGUUCUGUAGACAUAGAGGUCACACAGAAGCACCAUAAGCAGAGACUCUUCUUCAUCCAAGCUGUGCAGAAGACAAGCAUCAGGGCUUCCCCAUCAGCUCACAAACCACAUGCCACAACGGUUCACCAGGACACAAACAGGGCAUGCUAAUGGAAUCCUUUCUUCCAAGCUCAUGUACACAUGCUAUUCCCAGCUGCAGGGAAGUGAAAUGGAACCACAACAGUCAAAGCUAAACAUGGGAUUUCAAUACGGUCACAGUGCAAUGACCUGGGACAGAGCUUCUAGCUUAUUUAAUGUUGAAAUGCAGGAGGGGGAAGGUAAUA
Long non-coding RNA from Mauremys reevesii (Reeves's turtle), 660 nucleotides. RefSeq lists it as uncharacterized. The record is from RefSeq and is a predicted model, not a curated record. Lineage: Eukaryota; Metazoa; Chordata; Testudines; Geoemydidae. The transcript is spliced from 3 exons.